CCUUCCCUAAAAAAAAGGUUAGUUCUUGCCUUUGAAUACUGAUUGGCUAUUGAAAUGUAUUUAUUCUCUCUGAUGAUGGCAUCUGAAGAAGUCAAUUUGUGCAAGGCCCAGUCCCAACCACUCAGAAUUAGUUGUCCCGGUCAGUUGAAAGGGGAGAAUAUGCAGCUACCCCUAUGUUACAGCAAAUGCAGAUUUGGGUCAAUGAUCCCCGGUGUCUCUAUCCCCAACAGAUCUUGCAGAUUGCUGUUUGACCGACAUUUGAUUAGGAAACUGUAAGUACAUUUUGCUCUCUUAUAUCUAUAUGUAUUGCCUUACGGUAAACAUGUAUGGGCCACAUGUACUGAAUUCUUCUUAAGCAUCCCCUGUGCUGUUUGUUGGAUAAACCUUGAUUAGUAUCCCCCCAAGCCCCAAACAAUGACCUCUGAAAUCGAGCAAAGAUCACACGUGGUUGUCUGGAGAGAUCCAAGCAGGCAAAGUUUUUUUUUUCUGGUUUAUGUUACUAGUAUCCCCCCAAGCCAACAACCUAACACUGGCAUCUCUGUCAUUUCUCUUAAUUGAUACCCUGG
Molecule: long non-coding RNA, 566 nt
Filed under: Brachypodium distachyon (stiff brome)
Lineage: Eukaryota; Viridiplantae; Streptophyta; Magnoliopsida; Poales; Poaceae
Description: long non-coding RNA (BDIS_LNC005828)
Source: RNAcentral